GCCACCCCGCGCGUCUGUGUCGCUUACCCUCCUCCCAGCCCCUCUGUCAUUUCAAACACGUAACCGCGAACAGAGUCGAGCGAGAGAGAUAGCCAUGGCGAUUUGGAGCUCCGCCUCGACGCUCGAUCCAGUGUUUUGGUGGUGACUCGUCCGUGCUCUACCUCGUGCUGCCCCGCUUCCUCUGCCUCCGUUCUGUUCCUGCCGGCGAGAUCUGCGGCAUCUCUCGGCCCCGCACCGACCCGUCCCCAUUUCCGCCGCUGUUGAUUUUGUUCGUCGGAUUCGGUAUCCCCCCUCCCUUUUGUUGUUCCUGUGAUCUGUUAGGUAGUGAGUUGGUUUUGUCUGUCAGAUCUGUUGAUUGUAUCCAUCCCCCGCAGCUAUUUUCCGUGUAGAUUUGUUUAGGUUUGCGCCGUUUCUGGGAUGCGUUUGAUUGAUCUGCUAAGCGCAGUAGCUGCGGUAGCUGGGAUGCGCGCCAGUUUGAUCUGCUGAUCUGUAAUUGGUUGGUUGUUUGAAUUCGAGUUGUUCCUGUCAAGCUGGCUUGCUUAGUUGUAGUAGUCUGAUGUAUUCAGUCAAUUCGAACGGAUAUAUUCUGUUCCCUAGCCUUAAUCCCUAGACCGUUUUUCUUCACUGGUAUCGCUUAGUGGGUAUGUAGUUUACUCUGCAAUUCUUAUAUGGAUUUACAGUGAUUUGCAGUGCAAUACCCAUAGUUUUUUAGAGUGAUUUACAGUGUAACUCAUACUGGAUUUUUAUUGAUUUUUCGCUAUAAUUCAUAGUGGAUUUCCAGUGUAAUUUUCUAGUGGAUAGGUAGUAGAUUGUAGGUAAAUCCAAAGCAAUUUGUAGUGUAAUCCCCGGUUAUUUUACAGUGUAAUUACAGUGUAUUUUGUCAGUGGAUUUGCACUAUAUUUGCUAGUGGAAUAACAGUGUAUGUGUCAUGUAUAAUUACAGUGUAUUUUUGUCAGUGGAGUUGCACUGUAUUUGUUAGUGGAAUUACAGUGUUUUUGUCAGUGGAUUUACACUGUAAUUUGAUAGCUGAUUUACAGUGUAAUUGCCAUGGAUUUGCACUGUAUUUGCUAGUGGAAUUACAGUGUAAUUGACUUGGAUUUUUAUAAUGGAAUUGCGUUUGGAUUUACAGUGUAUUUGUCAGUGGAUUUACAGUGUAAUUGGUAACUGAUUUACAGUGUAAAUUCAGUGUAAUUACAUUGUAAUUAUGAGUGUAUUUAUAGUGGAAUUAAGUACAGUGUGUAGCUUGAUAUUGUAUGUUUUAUAGCAGAGAAAUCGUGACCGUUUUGUGAUGCAUCGCUAGUUUGCAAUUGAUAUUCGGAAUUGCUAAUUUUCAGCCAUAUGAAAAUAAUUGUGCUUCAUUCGUUUUUUCAGCCAUGGCGAUUUGGAGCUCCCCUCGCCCCUCCUUCACGUUCUUGGUUGUAAUUAUCCCCUAUCCCCUAUAUCAUCCCCUGCAUUUUUUUCUUCUGAUUUCUAGAUCCGGCGGAUUAGUAUUCUUGUCUAUUGGUCAUUUCUGGGCUUUUUUGUUGCGGAUGUAGCGUUUGAUGUAGAUGUAGCGGUGGAUCUCUCUAUCUUUUUAAUAUCUGCUUAUCCUGUCAUUUGAUUUUGAUGCCCCCUGUACUGGGUGUUGUUUCAUCCCUAUGGGCGUCUGAUAGGUGUAUGAUUCCACUGGUUGUUUCAAUUCAGCUAGCCUAUUUCAUGUGGAUGUAGGAUGCAGAUGCUUAAUCCCCUGGUUGUUGAGUCUCAUGGUCUGUAGUUGGGGUUUCUCGAUUAUGUGUCCAUUUUUUUGUGUGAUUUGACUAAUCUCCUCCCUCUGAUCACAAUUACUUAGCCUUAUUAGUUUACCAAAUCUCCUUCUCCACCUAUCUGUUCAUGAUUUUGUCUACACUCGUAGUUGCUGCAUUGAGUUGUUCAUUGUUAGUUGGUCGCAGUGUAACUUGCAGUCAUAUUUUUCAGUGUAACUUUCAGUGAUUAGCACUAAAAUUUCCAGUAUUUUUGGUGCAACUUACAGUGAUUUGCACUGAAAUUUCCAGUGUAAGUUUCAGUGGAAUUUUCAAUUUAAUUACAUUGUAGUCCAGUGUAAUUGUGUAGUGGUGUACAACCCUGUAACUUACAGUGUACAUUACACUAGUUUCAAUGUAUUUUCGUUGUAAUUUUGAAGUAAUGUGUAACUUACAGUGAUUUACUCUGAGUUUUCCAGUAUUUUGGUGCAACUUAUAGUGAUAUUUUCAGUGUAACUUGGAGUUUCCAGUAUUUUUUAGUGUUACUUACAGUGAUUUGCACUGAAAUUUCCAGUAUAAUUUUCUGUGCAAUUUCAGUUUAAUUAUGUUAUAGUCCAGCGUAAUUGCAUAGUGCUUUACAACCAUGUAGCUUAGCAUACUUUUGUACUGGAAUUUCCAGUGUAAAUUUCAGUGUUUUCACAAUGUAAUUGUCUAAUUUACUAGCAAUGUCCUGUGACUUACAUUACUCUGCACUGAAAAUCCCAGUGUAAAUUUGAUUGUAAAUUGAUUGUAUUUACUGUGUAAUUACACUGUAUUAUCAGUGCACUUAUACUGUUAAUCACAGUGUAAUUUCAGUAAAUUACAAUGUUAUCCUAGUGAUUACAUUUACACGUGGUGCUUCCUGUGUAGCCGUGGCAUAUUUUAGGUGGUCUUUUUGUGUGUCUUAGUUGCAGUCCUGAUUGAUUUCUAUGAUUUUUAGUUAGUUAUUAUGUAAGUGGUUCUCUCUGUAAUAUAUUCUUUUUGUGAAUGAUAGAAAUGAUUUAGUUUACUGUGUCUGUUAGUCUCUGGAGGGUGUUCAUUCAGCUGUUGUUAUUAGUUUACUAUCAUAAUCAUUUGACCAUCGUUAGUGAAGCAAAUGGGCAGAUUGAUGAAGGGUUGUGAGCAGGGAACCCAUGACCUUUCUCCUGAUGACAGUGUAGAUUCUUCAGAGAAACCUUUUAUCCCCGACGACUAUGCUGAUGAUGAUUGUUUCAAAGUGUCACAGGUUUAAAUUUUUCUUUUCAAUAGACUGUCCUGCUUGUUUUGAUUUUCCUGCACCCUAGUUUUAACUAAGUUUCAUUUUGCUUUUUCCAAGUUUUGUCUACGGAUGAUGGCAUUUUAGACUAGGCAUUGUUUGAUUUCUAUGUGAAUCAUGUAAGUAAUUAGUUAUUGUUCUCUUCAGUUCUCACUCAUGUUUUGUUUCAUUUCGUGUUGGUAGCUCCUAGUAUUUUUUUACAGUGCCUCUGAUCUGAACUUACAUUGCCCCUGUAAGUUUUGAUUUUACAUUGUUUCAUUUUUUACAGUGUGCUUCAGUAAGAUUUACUAUUUUGUAUGAUCAAAGUAAAUGUGUUUUCAUUUACUGUAAGUUUUGGUAGCUCAUAGCAAUCUUUUUACAGUGCUUCUGAUCUGAUUUUACAAUGUGCUUCAGCAAGAUUUACAGUUCUAUGAUCAAAGUAAACAAUGGUGUCAUUUAUUGUAAGUUCUGGUAGCUCCUAGUAUUUUGUUUACAGCGCCUAUGAUCUGAUUUUAUAGUGUGUUCUGGCUAUGGUUAGAGUAUUUUUUUAGUUUGAUUUUUUACGGUGCUAUUGAUGAAUUUCUUACAGUGUGCUUUUUUUAACUUCUACUAUUAUUUUAUCACAUUAAUUGGUUUUUUCAUUUUCUAUGAAGUCUGAGAUUUUGAUAGUGUGCUUUUCACCAUCUUGCAGUGCACUAUUCUCAUCUAGUUCCAUGUUUCUUCUUUUUGUUGUCUUCAGACCAUGAAACUCGUUGGAGUUGUUCAGUCUCACAAACAAUGCUGACAAACCCAAGAUUUUUCAAGGAUGCUGACAAGCCUUGUUAUCAAAGUGUUGGAUUGCUUAGUUGGGUCCUCUUUCAAAGUUAGUGACGGUUUUUCCCCAAGAUUGAAUGCUGAAGUUGAUUUCCAAAAUAUAUCAUCUACUCCAACUUUGAAAUUUUCCAACAGUGAGCAGUACUAUUCAAGGAAGAAAUCUGCAGAUUAGCAGAGAGUAUCAUGUUAUCAUUUUUUUUUCUUAUGUAUCUUUAUUUGUUCAAGCUUUAAGUAAUGUUUUUGUUUUGUAAAAUUUAACCUUCUGUAAAUGAUCAAAAUGAAGUCCAGAAUGUUUGAAAGGCCGACACCAAUUUAUGCAUUAUUUGGUUCAGUCUCUCCCUCUUGUUUGUUAUCUGUUGUUCUGUCUAUCGGGUUUCAAACAGGGGUGGACCCGUUUAGUAUUUGUGUUGUUCCCUCUCUAGGAUCCCCCGUUUGUAAUUCUCGCAGACCCAUUAAAAGGGUAGAGCGCAUCUGGGAUAGAUACAACGAUAGACGGGGACCGGAACAUACAUAAGGACAUUGGACACUUGUCAAGUUGUGGUUGGUCAAAAAAUAUGACUGAAGACCAAUUGGUUUU
This 4381-nucleotide long non-coding RNA is filed under the name Triticum aestivum (bread wheat). Its description in RNAcentral is "long non-coding RNA (TAES_LNC018479)". Lineage: Eukaryota; Viridiplantae; Streptophyta; Magnoliopsida; Poales; Poaceae. The record is from RNAcentral.